Molecule: ribosomal RNA, 209 nt
Filed under: uncultured bacterium
Lineage: Bacteria
Description: partial 16S ribosomal RNA
Rfam family: Bacterial small subunit ribosomal RNA
Source: RNAcentral
AUUGAACGCUGGCGGAAUGCUUUACACAUGCAAGUCGAGCGGCAGCGCGGGGCAACCUGGCGGCGAGCGGCGAACGGGUGAGUAAUGCAUCGGAACAUGUCCAUGUCGUGGGGGAUAGCCCGGCGAAAGCCGGAUUAAUACCGCAUACGCCCGAGAGGGGAAAGUGGGGGACCGCAAGGCCUCACGCGAUUGGGUUGGCCGAUGUCCGA